RNAcentral lists this ribosomal RNA (252 nucleotides) under uncultured bacterium. Its description in RNAcentral is "partial 16S ribosomal RNA". It matches the Rfam family "Bacterial small subunit ribosomal RNA", at positions 524 to 776 of the family's 1533-position model. The record is from RNAcentral.
UACGUAGGGGGCGAGCGUUAUCCGGAUUCAUUGGGCGUAAAGCGCGCGUAGGCGGCCGCCUAAGCGGGACCUCUAACCCCGGGGCUCAACCCCGGGCCGGGUCCCGGACUGGGCGGCUCGAGUGCGGUAGAGGAGAGCGGAAUUCCCGGUGUAGCGGCGGAAUGCGCAGAUAUCGGGAAGAACACCGAUGGCGAAGGCAGCUCUCUGGGCCGUCACUGACGCUGAGGCGCGAAAGCUGGGGGAGCGAACAGG